RNAcentral lists this ribosomal RNA (216 nucleotides) under Triticum aestivum (bread wheat). Its description in RNAcentral is "partial small subunit ribosomal RNA". The record is from RNAcentral. Lineage: Eukaryota; Viridiplantae; Streptophyta; Magnoliopsida; Poales; Poaceae.
AUGUGUGCUCCAAAAGACCAAGGAGGAAUGGGUUUCCGUGAUAUACACUGCAUUAACCUGGCCUUGUUAGCGAAACAAGCUUGGCGUCUCUUGGAUAAUCCUGAAUCGUUAUGUGCAACAAUCCUAAGAGCCAAGUAUUUCCUGGAGGGCGAUUUGAUGAGCGCAGUAGUAAAAAAGGGCUCCUCUUUUACUUGGCAAAGCAUUAUGGCGGGAGUG